UACGCAUCCAGAGGGGUGGAGGGUUAUGGCCCGACGAAGCCCCGGCAACCCCCCGUAAGGGGAAGGUGCCAAUUCCAUCAGGCAAAGCAACAAGCCUGGGAGAUGUGGU
Molecule: non-coding RNA, 109 nt
Filed under: Conexibacter woesei
Lineage: Bacteria; Bacillati; Actinomycetota; Thermoleophilia; Solirubrobacterales; Conexibacteraceae
Also listed under: 1 other name
Description: SAM-I sequence
Rfam family: SAM riboswitch aptamer (S box leader)
About the family: The SAM riboswitch is found upstream of a number of genes which code for proteins involved in methionine or cysteine biosynthesis in Gram-positive bacteria. The SAM riboswitch acts at the level of transcription termination control.
Source: RNAcentral